AGUGAACGCUGGCGGUAGGCCUAACACAUGCAAGUCGAACGGCAGCACAGUAAGAGCUUGCUCUUACGGGUGGCGAGUGGCGGACGGGUGAGGAAUACAUCGGAAUCUACUUUUUCGUGGGGGAUAACGUAGGGAAACUUACGCUAAUACCGCAUACGACCUACGGGUGAAAGCAGGGGAUCUUCGGACCUUGCGCGAUUGAAUGAGCCGAUGUCGGAUUAGCUAGUUGGCGGGGUAAAGGCCCACCAAGGCGACGAUCCGUAGCUGGUCUGAGAGGAUGAUCGGCCACACUGGAACUUGAACACGGUCCAGACUCCUACGGGAGGCAGCAGAGGGGAAUAUGAGACAAUGGGCGCAAGCCUGAUCCAGCCAUACCGCGUGGGUGAAGAAGGCCUUCGGGUUGUAAAGCCCUUUUGUUGGGAAAGAAAAGCAGCAGGUUAAUACCCCGCUGUUCUGACGGUACCCAAAGAAUAAGCACCGGCUAACUUCGUG
RNAcentral lists this ribosomal RNA (492 nucleotides) under uncultured bacterium. RNAcentral's name for it is "partial 16S ribosomal RNA". It matches the Rfam family "Bacterial small subunit ribosomal RNA", at positions 29 to 507 of the family's 1533-position model. The record is from RNAcentral.